RNAcentral lists this long non-coding RNA (670 nucleotides) under Setaria viridis. RNAcentral describes it as "long non-coding RNA (SVIR_LNC007119)". The record is from RNAcentral. Lineage: Eukaryota; Viridiplantae; Streptophyta; Magnoliopsida; Poales; Poaceae.
UCGGAGGUUCCGAGGAGUGGAGAAUCCAAAGAAGUCACUAGCUUCAAGUUCCCACAGUUGGAAAUCGAAAUCCCGUCGAGUGGAGAAGAUAAGAAGGAGGAGGGGUGCCGGUUGGAAGAAAUAGAUGUUAGGGUUUUAGGGCCAGUGGUUCAGGGGUAUUUAAACCCCUGGGUACCCGUCGGAAGUUCCGACGGACCGUUGGAAGUUUGAUGGGAGACAAGAUUCUCCAGAGAACACCUGUCGGGACUUCUCGGAAACUUCCAGUGGGUAUCGGAAGUUCCAGUACUGUGUCGAAAGUUCCGACAGAUGCAAGACAACUCCAAAAAGAUAGAUUUUGAGAUGGAUAUUGAUUGAGAUUUCUCAAUAUAUGGCUUCUGGACAUAUAAGACAUCUUGACCCUAAAGUGAUCAGCCAACAAACAACAUUACAUAACAAUGAUCACUUGAAUCAAGAUUUGAUCUGUGGAUCAAAAUCCAUGUUUUGAAAUAAUACUCAACACAAGUAAAUCCAUUUUUCCUAUCUAGGCAAUACACAAAUAUGUGCAAUAAGUCAAGCCAAGUUACGAGAAUUCAAGAUGUUUAGCUCAUUCCUCAAAGCACAAAACCUUUGCUCAUCUAGAAGCUUAGUGAAGAUAUCAGCAAGUUGCCUCUCGGUGCUUACAUGACGUAAG